UGGUGGCGAGCGGCGGACGGGUGAGUAAUGCCUAGGAAUCUGCCUGGUAGUGGGGGAUAACGUUCGGAAACGGACGCUAAUACCGCAUACGUCCUACGGGAGAAAGCAGGGGACCUUCGGGCCUUGCGCUAUCAGAUGAGCCUAGGUCGGAUUAGCUAGUUGGUGAGGUAAUGGCUCACCAAGGCGACGAUCCGUAACUGGUCUGAGAGGAUGAUCAGUCACACUGGAACUGAGACACGGUCCAGACUCCUACGGGAGGCAGCAGUGGGGAAUAUUGGACAAUGGGCGAAAGCCUGAUCCAGCCAUGCCGCGUGUGUGAAGAAGGUCUUCGGAUUGUAAAGCACUUUAAGUUGGGAGGAAGGGCAUUAACCUAAUACGUUAGUGUUUUGACGUUACCGACAGAAUAAGCACCGGCUAACUCUGUGCCAGCAGCCGCGGUAAUACAGAGGGUGCAAGCGUUAAUCGGAAUUACUGGGCGUAAAGCGCGCGUAGGUGGUUCGUUAAGUUGGAUGUGAAAUCCCCGGGCUCAACCUGGGAACUGCAUUCA
RNAcentral lists this ribosomal RNA (547 nucleotides) under Pseudomonas mandelii. RNAcentral describes it as "bacterial SSU rRNA". It matches the Rfam family "Bacterial small subunit ribosomal RNA", at positions 86 to 629 of the family's 1533-position model. Lineage: Bacteria; Pseudomonadati; Pseudomonadota; Gammaproteobacteria; Pseudomonadales; Pseudomonadaceae. The record is from RNAcentral.